This 5359-nucleotide long non-coding RNA is filed under the name Homo sapiens (human). Its description in RNAcentral is "HSALNT0136814". Lineage: Eukaryota; Metazoa; Chordata; Mammalia; Primates; Hominidae. The record is from RNAcentral.
GGUGCUUGUGUGAUGGUGAGGGGAACAAAGUUAUCUGCUGAGAUGUCAGGAACCAGUGUCACCAGGCAGGGUUUCUGGGAGGACGUGACACUCACCAUGCUAGAAAGGUGGCACUUGAGAAGGGGGAGCUGACCCUGCAACACAGCACUCUCAGGACUUCCUGUCCUUUCCAUGCAUGGCUGUACUCAGACAAUAUGCAGGAGGUAGAGGAGGUAAUUAUUGGAUUAUUAGCAUGCUUUGCUGUUGAGGUGCAUUGCCUAGGUUUGUUUUCUGUUUUUUAAAUUUCAAUGAUGCUUCUUUAAUCAGGAACUCCUUUUCACCUUCAUGACAAUAGUAUAAUAAACCUUUAAUCUUGAUGACUGAUUACCAUAUACCUUUCAAAUCAACACACUUUCAGUUGCACUGAUUUCAGUUAUUCUGGGUCUUCUCUUGCACUUGUCCCCUAUGGUGACGCAUGCACCCUCUCUUCCCUCUCCAGUUAUGUGCAUGGCCCCUCCUCUGUCUUUACUCUUUCAUUUCCCUACCCCAUAAGUAGCAAUAUACUAGACUUUGAGGAUGACUGAAAAACUCAAUAUACAGACCCUGGCUCUGAGGAUCUUUUAAACUGAGAGCAGAUUAUAAUGUGAACUAUAGGAAUACAUGGAAGAGAAAGAUUGCUGUGUAGUGAGGAAAUCAGCACAUAUUCUGAAGAGAAAAUUUAGCAGGAUCUUGAGAUUUGAGAAAGAUCUGGACAGAGAGAGAAGCUUUCUGGCUAGUGUCUUAUUCAGAGUCAAUGAGGAAAUGGAUUUCCUGGUUCAGGGUUCCUGCUGAGGAGUCACAGGUGGCUGCCUGGGAUGGGAACAGUAGUGUCAGGCCACAGAGGGCCCUGAACACCAGAAGGAAAAAAAUCACUUUAACAUUUAUUGAUGACAUUAUGUGACAGACACUGUCUGGGGAAUUCCAUAUUAUCUGAUAAAGUUGUCAUGAUGAUUAAAUGAGACAUGCAUAAAAUUACUUAGCACCAGACUGGUACUUGAUAAUUUCUUAGUGAAUGCCAGCCUUCAUUGUCACAUGACUGCUCCUGCUGUUGUUACUGUUAUUAUUCAUUACCUGCCACAGCCCUAAUAAGCCAUAUCACAAUCCCAUAAGAUAUCACUGCCCCUACUUUCUUCUGAAGAGAAAAAGUUUGAGAAAACGUCUUAGAAAUACUCUCAGUGUUUUUCAGUUCUUGGAAUCUACAUGUAAUAAGUAAAGGAACUCAGGCUUGUCUUAUUCCAAGCUUUCUUUAAAAACCAGGUAUUUUAUCAGAGAAAUAAAUACUGCCACUUCCUGCAGUUCAAUGUUGAAAAGCAUUCUGAUGAGGACGGUCAAGUAUGCAUCAUGAGGGUAGAAAACAUUUAGCAUGAGAAACAGGGCAAGGUCCAGGCAGAAAUACUGUAAUAAUACAUUAAAUACUACCCCUCAAUGGACAAAACAAUGUCAUGUACAUUGUGGAAUUUUUCCAUAGGCCCAUUUUUGGGGGUGGGGAAACUGAGUUAAAAGGGAGUAGGUGACUUGCCUGAAACUACAAACUAGUGAGACAAUGGGAAUUCAAACUUCAGCUCCAAUAUAAUAAAAAAGAAAAAGGAAACAAAACAAAACAAAAGCCCUGGUGAUUUUCUAAAUAGAUUCCUUUAAUACAGCAAAAACCUAAAGGUCCAUAGAAUGCACCUGAACAAAUGCUGUUUGGUGAAAACACAAGUGUGAUCAAAUGCCAUGGACCCACAGGAAGCUGGUGGCUCUCUUACAACACUAGAGCUGCCCUUGGAGUCCAAAGAGGCCCAAGACACCAAACUCAGUAAGAGGAGAGCUCUGCAGCAGCAGGGAAAAUGCAGUCCUUCUUCACAAAUGAUGGAAGAUGAGCAUGGUCAGAGAUGAGUUUGGGAGCUCUUUUCUCUGUAUUGCCAACAAGCAUUUUCCUGGGCGUGUCUUCCAGAUGCAUGGCAUUCUAGAUUUUAUGUGCAAAAUGAUCAGAAAUGGUGGGGGAAAUGGAGAGGGCUGGUCAAAGGAUACAAAGCUUCAGUAUAAGAUGAAUAAACUCAGGGGAUCCAAUUUACAGCAGGGGGCUAGCAUCAACAAUACUGUAUUGCUUAUCUUGAAAUUUGCUGAUUGAGUAGAUCUUAACUGUACUCACCCCUCCAAUACACACCAUACAUGCACAAAAUGGUAACUGUGUGUGGUAAUGGCUGUGUAAUCUGUGGUAAUCACAAAUUAAUGUAUAUCAAAUCACCAUGUUGUGCAUGUUUAAUAUAUGUAAUUUUUAUUUGUCAAUUAUGCCUCACCAAAGCUUGUGGGUGGGGGGAAUAAUGAACUCUGAUGUAAGGUAUGGCCUCUGGGUUAUGAUGUGUAAAUGCAGGCUCAUCAGUCCCACAAAUGUCCCACUCUGGGGGAAUGUGAGAAUGGAGACUGUGCAUGUGUGGGGGCAUGGGGUAUAUGGGAACUGUAACUUCCCUUCCAUUUUUCUGUGAAGUUAAAACUGCUUUUUUAAAAGUCUGUUUAAAAAAUAAAAAUAAAAUGAAGAAUGAUGACCGUGCUGACGUGACUUUUCAGUGGAACUUACUUAAAAACAUAAUGAGUGUUUCACUAAAUUUUUCAGUCAGUUUCAGUUCACCUCAAUGAAAUUAACUGCUAUAUGCUCUUCUGGGUUAUUUACUAUUGAAAUUGUAGGGUUUUUUUUCUAAAGGGGCAGUAGUUUAUUAAUUCUAGAAAAGAAAGGAGGGAGGCAGAGGCAGGAGGAUGGCUUGACCGCCCCACUGCACCCCAGCCUGGGCCACAGAGAGAGACUCCAUGUUUGUUUGUCUGCUUAAAAAGAAAGGUAAAAGGAAAGGAAAGAAAAAAGAAAAGGAAAGGGAAAGAGAAAGAAAGGAAAAAUGGAAGGAAAGGAAAAUGGAAAGGAAAGAUAAGGAAAUUAAAUUCACUGCUUCUCAAAGGAUCUGAUAUCCUUUGAUAUCCCUCAGUCUGUAGUAUUCUGAAGGAGUCAUACUCACAUAGGAGCCAGGCCCUUGCAGCUCUCCAGAAUCACUCUCCUGGUGCAAAGCGCAAAGGCGUCAAGAGAACAGCAGGCACCCACGUGCGAUCAGGACUCCAGACGCACAGCCCCGCGCAGGUGCAGGCUACCCAUGCAGAGUGGCAGCAAGCAAGGAAGGAAGGGUAACGGGGAGCGAUGAUUCCGCGGGAACAGCCAGUGCCCCUGGGAGCUGCUAAGCUCCUCCUCUCAGUUGUCCCGGCUGUGGAAUCAUGCGCCUCUGGACCCCUAGAAGGAACGUUCUAGUGCAUUCAGGGUUAUGUGCAGGGUGAGCGCUUCUCACGCCCAACAGCACCUAUAAGAAAAUGGCACCUCGCUAAUGACUGGCGUGCACUUUCCUAGGGCACAACUACCCGGAUGCCUAGCGGUAUAUGGAUACUUAAAAUUAGUUUUCCUAUUUUUAUACAGAAAGCUGACCUAAGUCAAAGCAAGCCACAGAGCGUGGGCACAUGGAGAGGAGGAUGAUGGCCCUCUUGCGCUGCCCUCUACCCAUGAAGCCAGUUCUCCACUGGACAGGAAGCAACCCAGCCAGGCAGAGGGCGCUGAGAAGAUUCAGGGCUAAGCAAACUGGGCUGUGAUACUGGAUUGAUCAUUUAACAACUGCCUGCCCUUGGGCAGUUCAUUAAACCUCUGUAGUUGAUUUCCUCAUCUGAAAACGAGCUCUAACAAUCUUCAUUUCAUAGGUGUGUUGUGAAUUUGAGUGAGCUCAACAGGAGCUCUGAAAAUCAGUCCUGUCAUAGCUGAUCUCUGACUGCAUGUAACUAACUCCAGCCAUUCUUUUUUUAUUUAUUUUUUUAGACGGUGUCUGGCUCUGUCGCCCAGGCUGGAGUGCAGUGGCGCGAUCUCGGCUCACUGCAAGCUCCGCCUCCCGGGUUCACGCCAUUCUCCUGCCUCAGCCUCCCGAGUAGCUGGGACUACAGGCGCCCGCCACUACGCCCGGCUAAUUUUUUGUAUUUUUAGUAGAGACGGGGUUUCACUGUGUUAGCCAGGAUGGUCUCCAUCUCCUGACCUCGUGAUCCACCUGCCUCGGCCUCCCAAAGUGCUGGGAUUACGGGCCUGAGCCACCGCGCCCGGCCACUCCAGCCAUUCUUAAUCCAAGGCUUCCCUGCCCGGCUUCACACCAGUCCCUUUGGGAUCUCUCAAUUCAUCACAUGGUUUUGUCGUCUUCCAUUGAAAUUCCAACCUGUUUGGCCAAUGGAGAAGUUGUAUAGUCUCUGAUCCCUGAGAAACAGUUCCACGAGACUUUGGCCUCCAUCUGUGAUCACACAUCCCUCAGGGGAGAAAAUAAUUUGGCUAAUCCACAUAAGCAGUUGCAAUUCUCUCUUUCAAAAGGUUGUCAAAUGUAUACAAAUUACUUUGAGAAAUGAAAGAUAGUCUCUUGAAAAUAAUUUCUGAAGUUAUUUUUGCUACAUUUGUAUUAAAGAAAAUGUUUAAAGACAGGAUCAAGAAAUUAAAGACAGUUUCAAGAAAAAUUAGAACAUACUAUAUUAACCAAAGCCUAAAAUAAGACUGGUGUCCUGUAGGGAGCAGCCAUUGGUGAAUUAUACAGGUACCAUAUUGUACCUUUGCUUUUUUUUAAUGCCUCUGUAUGUGUGAUUUGGUGAUAUUAUCUAAGGUAGGCUAUGUUGACACUUAGGAGAAUGUGGAACAUGUAUGUACACACAACUACAGUGAUUACAACACAUACUUCAAUGAUGGAGAAGAAGAAACUUGGGAGAGAAGAGGCAGGCAUUGUGCCAGACCCUCUGUCACCCCAUUCCGUCCCACAUUUCUCUAGUUCCAAGACAGCCACAUAGUUCUGGUGAGGCUGAGACAAGUACAACCAUGAGGCCCAGACUGGCCCAGGGGUGACUUGAAUGAGUCAGUAAAUGGCACAUAACCUAAGAUAUCCCAGCAGAGGAAGCCUGGAACUUCUGUUCAGUGGACUGGGGAAGAAACACUGUAUCCUGCUAUUUAUAAGCAAGAAGAGGAGUAUUUUUAGAAGGACCAAGCUCUACGCCUAGCAAGCUUGGGUGAGUUGGCUCCCUUUGGUGCAGAAAUUUGAGUUCAGGAAAUGUAACCAUUUCCAUAGUACUUUUGCAGUUUUGUUUUCUUCUACACCCCUUACAAAGUUCCCCCUUUGGGGAGGUUUCAAUACUGCUGAGGCUGAACUGUAGGGAAGCAAAAGUCUCCCAGAGGAAGGUUCGUGAGAGAUUGAACCCUACAGGUCUGUAUUGUGAUAGCAACAAAUUAAUUACAACUAAUGAGAAAAGGAAUAGGCUAAACUAAGACCAAGGAUCAAAGAAUUUUCUGAUUCCUCCUAUUUUUUCUUGACAA